This 1683-nucleotide long non-coding RNA is filed under the name Phasianus colchicus (ring-necked pheasant). Its description in RNAcentral is "lncRNA (ENSPCLG00000006154.1)". The record is from RNAcentral. Lineage: Eukaryota; Metazoa; Chordata; Aves; Galliformes; Phasianidae.
AUGCAGCCAGGUGGGAUGUCUGCCUCUGCUGCAGCCCAUGAGCAGAGAGGUGCAGGAACAGCAGUGGGUCUGAAGGCACUGCAGGGCAUGGGGUGCCCUCACUGCAUGGCAGUGCCAGCUCCCCUGAGGCAGUGCUGCAUUGGGGACCUCGGUGCUGAUCCGACAGCAUGGUGCUGCUCCUUGCUCUCUUGCUGCGUUGCUUGCUUUCUUUUGCAGCUGCUAAUGACUGACCUGAGGUCUGUUCACACACAGUCCCCUGCGCAGCCCUCGCAGAGGAACAGCUGGACGGGAUGGGGGACGCUGCACAGUGCCCAUAUAGCCAGAUUGCACAGCACCACCAGUCCCAUGGCUCUGCCACAGCUCUCACCCGAGGGCACCGGAGCACAGGGACGUGACAGCUGCCUGCACAUGGACACUGGAGCUGCUGGCCACAGCGGAGCCACCUGAUGCCAGCCUGGCUGUUGUGAGAACAAGGCUGAAGAGAUGGUGGUGGCAGUGCCUGAGGACAUGGGACUGUCUUCACAUGGUCCUACCAGGUGCUGGGGUCCUCUUCUUCCUGCAAACACUCUGGCACUGAUGAGGCUAUCCCCGUCUUGGAGUCCAUCUCUCAUCCUCAUGGUGCCAGGGCUGCACAUCGCAGGGUGUACUCAGGCUCUGUGUGCUUCACCAGCACAGUGACAGCAGCAGGUCCCCACCAAGCGUUUCAUCAGGAGGGCUGCAUUGUGCUGACCCAUCCACUGACACCUUCCCAUAUCCCAUAACCCAGUGGCAAAGCCCAAAAACGUCUCCUGCUCUCCAAAGCCAUGCUGCCUUGCGCGGGGACUAACCGUGCCCAGCUGUGCAUGCGUGUGCUCUGCUCCUCUCCAGCACUAACCAGGUCCCCCAGGCACCGUGUGCCCCUUGUGAUCACUAACCCACUAACACACCCACGCAUGUCCUACUAACAGCCCCGCUCUCACUAACAGCCCACAGGCCUUAAAGGGGAACGGAAAAGCUGGGUAAGUACGGAGCUGUGUGGGGCACUGUGGGGCUGGGGAAGCCAGGCAGCAUGUGGGGCAGGCAGGACAGGGUGGGCAGCCCCUCUGUAUGGCCCCUGCAUGGGGCUGGUCUCUGCAGCAGUGGGGCUGCGAUGCCCAGAGUGCUGCAUAUGGUUCUGCUGCUGACUGGGAGCCCAAAAUGGUUUUAUCAGCAGAAGCUUUUCAGUUCCUUUUUAAGCCAGUGGAUCUCUCUGUUACUAACACAUUCCUGAACUGAAUUAAACAAACUAAUCGUUGCUGCUUUUCUCUUCAUUUCUCUUCUAGUGUAUAUGUUCUCUAAGUGCGACUGACGAUGCCAUGCUUCUCUUUACUAACAGCCUGCAUUAACUUCUCUUUACUUGUUUCUCUAUUGCCUCUAACAAUUAUUCUUUGCACUUCAACUUUCCAGUGCUGUUGGCCAUGACAGAUGAGCAGUGGUCCCUACACACCCAGGGACCCACGGCUGCUGACCCCACACUGCCAUUGGGUGCAGCACAAAGGGAGAGGCUCGGGCCAGGGCUGCUUUCAAAAUUUCCCUAUUGGCUUGUUGUUUGCUGAGAAAUUUCCACGUGGUUCAAUGAGUAAAAGAUACUGAGUGGAAAGAGGACAAUGCCAAAACCAUGAGCAACAGCUGGCAAUUGCCACAAUAAACCAGCAAAGCUGCCCA